This 693-nucleotide long non-coding RNA is filed under the name Notechis scutatus (mainland tiger snake). Its description in RNAcentral is "lncRNA (ENSNSUG00000013314.1)". The record is from RNAcentral. Lineage: Eukaryota; Metazoa; Chordata; Lepidosauria; Squamata; Elapidae.
GGGAGAGACGAGGGUACCUUCCCACGCCUCUCUCCGGGAAGGCGUUGAGUCAACUGGCUUUUUCUUUGGGUGGGAACCAUUCGGGAUGGAGACCUCUGGCAGCUGAUGGUGAGGAUGAGCAUUUCUCCAGGUGCCCCUCCAUCAUAUCACUAACUGAGUCAGCACCAUGAGAAGCAGAUGGGGUGUUGCAGGGUUGCUACUUCUAGCCAUCAAGGUCUCGGGGCUGAAAACAGGUGAUCUAGAUGCCACUAUGGGCCUACAGUGUUUCCAACCAUUUCACAGCAAGUUUGUGAACUGCAGCUGGCUGACCUGGGAAUCUCAAAAUGCUAACGCCAUCUAUGUCCUUCACUAUGAGAGCCUAAAGUUGGGCAAACUGCUGCCGUUAGUGAGCCUUUAUAUUGAGUUAUAGUACAAAUAUCCAAAUUAAUAAGCCAUUGUCUUUUUCAACCAGAACCUUCUGUGCUGGCCAGUGUAAUCUAUGGCUAAAUGACUUUAUUUGGGAAGUAUAGGGAAUUGCAGAGCAAAGGAAUACCUAUUAGGAUUUUAUAGUUUCAUGAAUGAAGGUUUUGGUCUAGAUGGGCCAAUAUUGGAGAAGUAUGGAAUAUUAAGGAAAAAUAAUGGAAGUUGAUUUGUCAGUUGAUUUGAGUGGAUUGGGAGCUCUGAAGAGAGAUUUUUAGAAGGGCACAUAGGAAC